UUGCCCUGUGUUGCCAUGCCGAAAGGCGGAACUCGCAGGGGACCGCUACCGAUAAGGUGGAGGAAGGUGGGGAUGACGUCAAGUCAUCAUGGCCUUUAUGUCCAGGGCUACACACGUGCUACAAUGGACGGUACAAAGCGCUGCUAAGUCGCGAGAUGGAGCUAAUCGCAAAAAACCGUUCUCAGUUCGGAUCGCAGGC
This 199-nucleotide ribosomal RNA is filed under the name uncultured Acidobacteriota bacterium. RNAcentral's name for it is "uncultured Acidobacteria bacterium partial 16S ribosomal RNA". It matches the Rfam family "Bacterial small subunit ribosomal RNA", at positions 1105 to 1305 of the family's 1533-position model. Lineage: Bacteria; Pseudomonadati; Acidobacteriota. The record is from RNAcentral.